GCACCUCGAUGUCGGCUCGUCGCAUCCUGGGGCUGGAGUAGGUCCCAAGGGUUGGGCUGUUCGCCCAUUAAAGCGGUACGCGAGCUGGGUUUAGAACGUCGUGAGACAGUUCGGUCCCUAUCCGCCGCGCGCGUAGGAAACUUGAGAAGGGCUGUCCCUAGUACGAGAGGACCGGGACGGACGAACCUCUAGUGUGCCAGUUGUCCUGCCAAGGGCACGGCUGGUUGGCCACGUUCGGAAGAGAUAACCGCUGAAAGCAUCUAAGCGGGAAGCUCGCUUCAAGAUGAGGUUUCCCACAGGGUUAACCUGGUAAGGCCCCCAGAAGAUGACUGGGUUGAUAGGCCGGAGGUGUAAGUGCGGCAACGCAUGUAGCCGACCGGUACUAAUAGGCCGAGGGCUUGACCAC
This 406-nucleotide ribosomal RNA is filed under the name Actinomycetota bacterium. Its description in RNAcentral is "partial 23S ribosomal RNA". It matches the Rfam family "Bacterial large subunit ribosomal RNA", at positions 2521 to 2925 of the family's 2925-position model. The record is from RNAcentral. Lineage: Bacteria; Bacillati; Actinomycetota.